This 1463-nucleotide ribosomal RNA is filed under the name Eutetrarhynchus sp. 6LS. RNAcentral describes it as "partial large subunit ribosomal RNA". It matches the Rfam family "Eukaryotic large subunit ribosomal RNA", at positions 94 to 984 of the family's 3401-position model. Lineage: Eukaryota; Metazoa; Platyhelminthes; Cestoda; Trypanorhyncha; Eutetrarhynchidae. The record is from RNAcentral.
UGAAGAGGGANAAGCCCAGCACCGAAGCCUGCAGUAGUUUUAUUGUUAGGCAAUGUGGUGUUUAGGUCAGCUCGUGGGACUGUCACUCCACUUGAAGUCUAGCAUUGAGUAUGGCUCUUAAUAUGUCCCAGAGAGGGUGAAAGGCCCGUUCGAGUGGAUGUUGCAGAAAUGUAAGACAGUUCAUCAGGCUGACCUUCGAGUCGGGUUGUUUGAGAAUGCAGCCCUAAGCGGGUGGUAAACUCCAUCCAAGGCUAAAUACAAGCACGAGUCCGAUAGCGAACAAGUACCGUGANGGGAAAGUUGAAAAGUACUCUGAAGAGAGAGUAAACAGUACGUGAAGCCGUAUAGAGGUAAACGGGUGGCGUCAAGCUGCAAGCCUGAAGGAUUCAGUCGGUCAUCAUGUUGUGUGCGUGUCUUGCCUGUGUCAGCCGGUAAUAGUAUGGGUAGUCCGGUGGGAAACACUGGGUCUGGUCGCAAGGCUGGAUGUAUUAACCACACGGUUGGUGGUGUACGCUACUUGACUACAGGGCUGGAUGGCCGAUGCACUUCCUUCAUAAAGGCGAACACCACGACCAGUGGAACUGCCAGUCUGGUAAAGCCAAGUUGUGCUUAGUUUGGUAUUCGUGUCAACUGGGUGCAAUCACAGGCAUUCUCAGUGGACGGUGAGGCCAUGUCUCAUGUUAACGUUCACUGGUUGUCAACGAGUCGAUCUGUCUGAAUGCGUGCGUUUGUUUGUAGUACCUGAUGGAUGGCUUGGUGGGCUUUGCUGGUAUGAAUAACUGUGCAACGCACUGGAAUUAACGGCCUCAUAUCCGUGCUGGCAUGCACACUACAAGUGCAAAAUGGUGGCGUUAGUGCAUUCUGUCGUUGGUGAGUCUGAUUGUCGUGUUUGCCUGCGCAAAGUAGGUCCGGCAGUGGCUUAUUGACGGUCUGGGUGUAUUUGGCGUUAUCUUUGUCAGUCGGUGUUGGUCGCAAAGUCUGUGGUGCGGUGGUAGACGAGCUACCCGACCCGUCUUGAAACACGGACCAAGGAGUUUAACACGCACGCGAGUCACUGGGCCUACCGAAACCCAACGGCGAAAUGAAAGUGAAGUCUCGAUAUUGUCCUCGAGGCGAGGUGAGAUCCUGUUGUUACUCGCACUGUCAUUGUUGGUACAAGACAAAGAGCUGCAGGCGCAUCACCGGCCCGUCCCAUGAUGUGGUUAUUGGUAAGUUGGCGUUUUGAUGCUGUUUUGUGUUGCCACGUCAACUCCAGUGCGUCAUCGGGGCGGAGCAUGAGCGUGCGUGUUAAGACCCGAAAGAUGGUGAACUAUGCUUGCGUAGGUUGAAGCCAGAGGAAACUCUGGUGGAGGACCGUAGCGAUUCUGACGUGCAAAUCGAUCGUCAAACGUGAGUAUAGGGGCGAAAGACUAAUCGAACCAUCUAGUAGCUGGUUCCCUCCGAAGUUUCCCUCNNGAUAGCUG